CGGGGUCAUAUUCACUGUGAUGGACAGCUCCGGUAACAAGACACCCUCGCUACUCUUUGCUCAGCUCUGCUGUGGAUUAAUGUAGUAAUAUGUCAUCUUUUCAAAGGUAAAGUGAAAAUCAUCACCUCCAGAGAGACUGUCCCCAGCAACGUGACCUCUGACCUGCUUAAGUCGUGUCCUAACACCACAGAGUGGACCGUGGAGUGGCCGCACGGUUGGUCUUUUUGUUGGAGUGUGAAAUUGUGCGAGUGAGACCAGUAAAUUCACCUGCAGCGAGCCAGGAUUCAGGAUCCCAGCUGCGAUGGAGGAAGGUUUGCAGCCUACUUAGAAGUGACAGACGCGUUACUUCCUGACAGAUAAGCUUAUGAGAUCUCAAAACAAUACACUGCCUGGGUAGUACUACUAACAUUAACACUAUCCACACACACUUCACACACCUGAACAGAAAAGACUGAAAAGAACCCUGAACUGAGUACACAGGCUGACAAACAUGGACUAUUGGAAUUUUCUCAUUGUGAAUUGUUGAAUGACUAUUUAUGGUUUUGUUUAAAUAAAUGUUAACUGUUCUUUUA
Long non-coding RNA from Astatotilapia calliptera (eastern happy), 572 nucleotides. NCBI's taxonomy places the organism in Eukaryota, Metazoa, Chordata, Actinopteri, Cichliformes, Cichlidae. The record is from Ensembl.